This 9938-nucleotide long non-coding RNA is filed under the name Cucumis sativus (cucumber). RNAcentral's name for it is "long non-coding RNA (CSAT_LNC002325)". Lineage: Eukaryota; Viridiplantae; Streptophyta; Magnoliopsida; Cucurbitales; Cucurbitaceae. The record is from RNAcentral.
UAUGCCAAGUGUGGAGAAUGGAAAGCUCACUACUUGCAAUUUUGCAUGUAGUUUGCUUAUAAAAAAGUGGAUUGUUGCAAAUGAAAGAAGAAUAGUUUUUGGGUAAAAUUGAUUUUGUAAUUUGGAAUUGCAAAAUUAAACUCCUAAAUCCAUCGCUUUCUCUAAUUUCUCCACCAUUCGAGUCCCACAACUCGGUUCUAAGUCUGGAGAAUAGCGGGUCAACGCUAGUGGUAGUCUCAGCUUCAAGUGUGUGACGAGAUUACGACAAUAGAAAAGCAUCAAAUGUGAGUUUUUUCUAUUAACUCUAUCUUUGUUUCAAUUAGGGUUAUACUGCAUGUUAAUCACUAAAGUGUUUAGUUACAAUUAGAGUAAAAUUCAAUUCUUAUUCCGAUGCGCAUGUUCUCGUUUUCCAUUAGACUUUUCGUAAAACGCUAUAAAAUGUCUAUGAUAGCAUUUUUGGAGUACUAUCGUAGACCUUUUUUUAUGUAGUAAUUUAUCAAUAGCAUAUCCUGUAUAAGAACUUGGGAUCCUGUUUAGCAAAUCAUUUUAUGAGCUAUUGCUUGUAAAGCUUGAAAACAUGUUUAAUAAUAUCAUUUAGAAAUCAAUGUGUUACUCAUAAGUUAUUACUUGUAGAGCUCGAAAUUAUGUUCAAUAAAUAUUUUAGAAAUCAUGAUGUUACUCACAAUACUUGUACAGAUCCUUGGCCAUAAAUUUCUCCUAAUCCUCAUUGUCCUGAAAAAUUCAUAUUUAAUCCUUAAUUAAUUCCUUGACCAUCAAAAUAUCCAAAAUUUUCCUUAAAAUUUUAAAAAAUAUCAAGACAGACCAAAACAACUCGAAAACAGCCCAACGAUGUCAAUCAAUAUGGUGAAUGGGCUGGUCGCGCAUGCAUAGCCUAGGGCCUGCCACAUGCUAAUCUCGCAAUGGGGUUGCUGCGCACGUGCUUGUCGCCUACCCCAUGCAUCCAUGGCGUGCUUUGCGUGCAUUAGUUCUCUUUGCACAUUGUGCGCCACACUAACCUCUAUGGUAGGGUCAUGCAUGCAAUCGAAAUGCAUGUCUUGUCGCUCGGUUAUGCCAUGGUCUUGUCAUGUGCAUGCAAUCUGAUCCAAAAUAACCUCUAUGACCAAAACGCACGCCCAUCUCGCCUAACCAUCUAAGCCUCUCGGCCACUACCUAGACACCGUUUUACUUCCAGAAUCAUGACUCAACUUUGAAAAAUCAUAACUUAAAAAUGCAAACUUUUUUGAUAAAACUUCCUUCUACAAAGUUGCUCGAAAUUUUCUUAACUUUCUUACCUCAAAUUUAGAAAAGUAUAUUUCAAUUAAUUAGUCCUAUAGCCCUCUAGAAGUGCAUCUUGCUCAGAUUCACCCAAGAAAUGACUUUGCAUUCUCUUGAUCAAAUUGCUAACCUCUUUGAAUCCAAAACGCACAACAACCUUCUCUCACAAACUAGACUCAAAUUUUAAACUUUUACGACCAAUUUGAGAGAUUUUGCACGAGUUAUAAGUUGUGAGAAAUUUAAUAAUGAAGUUGGCCUAUUUAUAGAGUCCCUUGUAGGAGAUUAAGGUGACACUUAAUCUUGAUUAGACUUACCUCUUAAGCUUGUGCUAACACCUCAAAAACUUCUUCACGUCCUUCUUGACCGCAAAAUGCAUGAUGACAUGGUUAUGACACUUGAAUUUACUUUUAACCAAUUGCCUAGAGCAUGCCACAUACUUCAUCCAAUCACAUAGCUAACCUCCUUGGCUUUCUCGCAUAACCUUGGUCGGAUAGCUUACUCUCUCACGUAGCUAAGCCUUCCUCGCCUAACAUCCUUCCUCCAGUGGACAACCUCUUAUAGACAACCUUCAAAUGCUAAGUCAAACUCCCAACUAACCUCUCUAGCCUUGCUGCAAACCUCCAAGUGCAUUGUCAUGGCUUCCUCGCCUAGCCUCUCAUCGCCAACCUAACCUUCAUGCCAUCCUCCUUGGUAAGCCUCUCAAGGUAUCCUUCUCGCCUAGCCUUCAACCAAACGCCCAUGCUUAGAGGUCUUACAUGAUCUUCUUAGUCACACAUCAAAACGCAAGAUAACCUCUAUCUUCUCCUCUCUUGCGGCCUAGCAUGCAUCCUACAUGCCCUAACUAAUCUCUUUAGAUGUUGUUUUCCUUCUUUUGGCCGUCCAAACUAUUCCAAAAUAACCUUUAAACGCAAAUAUUCAAAACUUAGCCAAAUUUCCAACUUGUCUCUUCCUCUUAAGACUUUAAUUGAUUUUUUAAGCUUUCAAGUAUUUUAUUCUUUUUCCUAGACAACUUUACCAAAGAAGACUAAUGCAAGCAUACAAUAAAAAAAUAAACCCUCAAAGUUUUUGAGAUGGAGAUUUGGUGUUAAAAAGGAUACUUCUAUUUCAAAAGAAUCAUCGAGGAAAAUAGACUCCUAAUUAUGAAUGUCAGUUUGUGGUGAAAAAUGCUUUUUCAAGAGGAGUUUUGCUUUUAAUCAAUAUGGAUGGCAUUGGUUUAAAAAAUCACGUGAGUUUAGAUUAUGUUCGAAGAUAUUAUGCGUGAGGUCUUUUCAUUUGACGAGUAUUUCUCCAAUUUCACAAUGUUUUGUCAUUAUUAUUAUUAUUUAUUUUUGGAUUUUUUUUAAAAAUAAUGUAAAAUUUGAAACAUAUUUCAAAAAUAGGGUAGUUGCAAAACUAUUUUCAAAUAUAGGUGUUUUGAGGUGAAGUCGUGGACGGGGUACACGACUUCCAUGCAGUGGCCCCCACAUACUCUAUUUUUUCCUUAUUUUUAUAUUUAUACUACACUGGGCCCCACAUUUUUUAAUUUUCUCAUUAUUUAUAUACGUGGGUCCCACACACUUCAUUUUUUCUCAUUAUUUAUAUAUACAUACUCACAUAUAAUAUAAUAUAUAUAUUAUACAUUCAAAUUCUAAAAAUAUCUUUCUUUAUUAAAUUAAUUUAUUUUUUUAUUUUUUUCUUUAUAUAUAUUUAAAUAUCACAAUCUUCAAUCUUCAAUUUUUCUUAUUAAAUUCAUUUUUCUAAUUUAAUUUAAUUCUUUCUUAAUCAAAAUUAUACAUAUAUUUUUUUUCCAAUUUUCAAUUUUUUUUAAAAAAAUCUCAUAUAUUAACAAAACAUGUUAUUAAAAAUAUAUUAAACAAAUUAAAAGAGUAAUAAUAAUAAUAAUUUUAUAUAUAUAUAUAUUUAUUUAUUUAUUUAAUAUCUCAAUCUUCAAAUUUUCUUAUUAAUUCAUCUUUUCUAAUUUAAUUUAAUUAUUUCUUAACCAAAAUUAUAUAUAUCUUUUUCUAAUUUUCUGUUUAAAAAAACACAUAUAUUAACCAAAUAUGUUAUUAAAAAAUACAUUAAACAAAUAAAAAUAAUAAUAGUAAUUGAAAGAAGUUGAAACGUACUCUAAAAAUAAUAAUAACAAUAAAUUUGCAAUUCAAAAUUAUCCAUUAAGUUUUUAAAUUUAAUUUGUAAUCGAACCAAUUCUUGUUUUUUUCCUUUUACCAUAAACAUGAAUUUCUUUUUAUUCAAUUAUCAAUGUGUGUGGCUUCAAGUGUUAUUAUUAUUAUUUUUUUUAGUAAUUUUAACUUAUCUCAAUUAUUAUUAUUACUCUUUUAAUUUGUUUAAUAUAUUUUUAAUAACAUGUUUUGUUAAUAUAUGAGAUUUUUUUAAAAAAAUUGAAAAUUGGAAAAAAAAUAUAUGUAUAAUUUUGAUUAAGAAAGAAUUAAAUUAAAUUAGAAAAAUGAAUUUAAUAAGAAAAAUUGAAGAUUGAAGAUUGUGAUAUUUAAAUAUAUAUAAAGAUAAAAAUAAAAAAAAUAAAUUAAUUUAAUAAAGAAAGAUAUUUUUAGAAUUUAAAUGUAUAAUAUAUAUAUUAUAUUAUAUGUGAGUAUGUAUAUAUAAAUAAUGAGAAAAAGUGAAGUGUGUGGGACCCACGUAUAUAAAUAAUGAGAAAAUUAAAAAAUGUGGGGCCCAGUGUAGUAUAAAUAUAAAAAUAAGGAAAAAAUAGAGUAUGUGGGGGCCACUGCAUGGAAGUCGUGUACCCCGUCCACGACUUCACCUCAAAACACCUAUUUUUGAAAAUAGUUUUGCAACUACCCUAUUUUUUAAAUAUGUUUCAAAUUUUACAUUAUUUUUAAAAAAAAUCCUUUAUUUUUCAUUUGAAUAUAAAAAUUCAAAUCAUAAAAAAAGUAAUUUUUUAUGGGUUUUAUAAUUUAAAUUCCUUGAAUAGAUGAAAUUGCUCCAUUUGAAAUUUAAUUAAUAAAUUAUCUUUAAAUAUAUAAGCCAUUUCAUACUUUUAAAUGAGACUGAAUAGCGUUUUCUAUGAAUUUAUUAAUUUUUAGAUACAUGAAAUUUCUCAUUAGACACCUAUGAUGGAGAUUAAAAUAUCAAAGUUUGAUAUUUUAAUAUUCUUGAGGUGAAUAAAUAAAAAAAUAUCUUUUGAAACAAAAAAUAAACUUCAUUUUUCUUAUGACUUUUAUGCCACCCAUAAUUAUCAAUAUGCUCAGGUUUUAUUUUUUUCGACGUGAAUUGAUAACCAUGAGACAUUUAAAAAAAUCUAAGUAAAAAACUUUGUUUUGUGAAACCUUUAAUUUAGUGUAAAAGAUAAAAUUUGGUAACUAUUUUAUGGGUGUUGUAGAGUGCUAACACCUUCCCUACACAUAAUUGGCUCUCGAACUUAAAUCUUAUGAAUUUAGGUAGACCACUUUUUUUGUGACCAAUCACACCUUAAUAUGGUUGGUGGCGACUCCAAACCUAUUUAUUUAUUAAAAUUAAACGAACGAGGAUGUCAAUUGCUCCACGUUGCGACACAUUGUAUUUGUAGAAAACGAGUUGUCCUCUAUAAAUGGGUAUAAUCGGUUAUAAAAAGUCAAAAAAAAUUAUUCAGUUCGCGAUUUUGUUAUAAAUCUUAAUAUUUUGGAGAUUUUCUAUUGUUUAGUUUGUUAUCUAACAUUUUAACAUUGUCACGGUUAUCUCUUGUUUAUUUGGGCUAAAAUUCAAAUAAGCCAAAAAAAUAAGUUGCAUUUAACUUAAAGGAAAAUUGCAAUUGAUGAUCAUUUUAGCAAUAAUAAUUAAGGAUAUAGCAAAACUAUCACCGAUAGAAUUGUAUCGGUGAUAGACUUUGUAUGGUCUAUCAGUGGUAGAUCAAUAUUUACAACAUGGUCUAUCGGUGAUAUACUUAUAUCAUCGAUAGAAUUUGACAAAUUUUGCUAUAUUUGCAAAAUUUUUAAAAUAUUGCUAUGUACUUAAUUAUUUUGAAUCUAAUUGCUAAAUUUACAACUAUUCAUCAGCUUAAAUGCUAAAUAUGACUCAAAUAUGGUUGAGCCCAUGAGUCUAUUCCAUGCACCAAACAAAGUCCAAGCCCAUCUAGCCUAUUAGAAGAUUCUAUAAGCUCAGUAGAAUAGUUCUCUUCAUUUGAGGGGACAUAAAUUUUAACUAUAGUAGGUUAGAAGUCAACCACUGUCAAAUAUUGAAGUUUCUUUGAAAAUACAAGCUUUCUUCCAAGACUCAAACUUAAAAAACAUCACGUGCUCCACUUCCUAAAAUCAAGUGUAUAUAUUCAAUCGAGAGAAAAUAAAAAAGAUUAAGUACUAGAGAACAAACCAUACUGCAUCAUAAUCAACACAUCAACACAUCAACACAAACUUCAACUCCAUGAAGCACGUUUCUCUAUAAACCUUGUGCGAAUAUAGUGUGCAUUUUUUUUUUCAAUAUGAAAUGAAAAUUUAAGAAGUGAUUCCUUAUAACCAAAGAAGAUAACGAUGUCACACACGACGUCCUAGUAACCACAUAAAUCAAUAAAUCUUCAAAUCAACAAAUAGAUAGUUAAAAAUAACACAAAGACGUUUCUAAACCACGUUUGGGGGUCAUACGGUGUCUAUCGAAGGAAGAUAAUUAAUCCAAUCUUAUAUGUAAGCUGAGUCAAGCAAUUACGACAUACUUAUUUGUAGUAACGAUGACUACAACUAUGCAUGUAGAGUCUAACUUAAAUAAUCACUCUAGGCUCUUCCUAGAAUGUGAGACUCCCUCUUGCUUCCACUUAGGCUCUUGUUAAGUAUGUGAAUAUUAGUGGCGUACAAUUUAUAGGUUUCUUCCAAGUGUGUGACUCAUGCUCACUCGAAGAUAGUUUACUUCCAAACCCUCUUCACGAGAGAACUUAGACUCUCGUAAGUCAUGAGAAAUUUCUUUUUGAUGAAUAACACCUCAAGGUUUUCUAACUUGAGAAACCCUUCUCGAUUUGGUAUGUCUUAAGGUUCCUCUAAGACUAAACAAUACUUCACAAUAUCAAUCUGUUCACUAGUUUUUAUAGUGAGAAAAAAUACACCACUACUACACAGGAAGAACGAAAAACUCCCUUCUCAAAAUAAAUUUGUUGUGAUCACUUUCAUUAAUGAUCUCACAAGAUAGUACAUGCGACAACUCUAACAAAUAACAUACUUUACUGGCUUGUAGAUAAUAGCACAACGGAAAGAUGGAAAGUAUCCCAUCCCACCAUAAAAUUAGAUAACCAGCAAAAAGAAACCAAAACAAAAGAAAAACUUCACAAAGAUCUAAAUAUUCAAGCACAAUAAUUUAAAUUAGAAGAAAAAUGAUUAGGUAGAGCUAAAACUUUAAUUAACAACCUCUGAGACAAAUCAGAGACAACCCAUAAAGUCUCAAGAGCAAAUGUCAAGAGCCUUAAGCACACACAUAUAUAGCCAAUAUUAUAGGUGUAGACAUAAAAAAUGGAACAUAAAACAAGGAUUAGAGUUAUAAAACGCAAUCUCGCUUUUUGCUUUCUAUUUUUUCCUAUCAUUUUUAAACCCAAAAGUAUAUAUAUAAAAAAAAAAACCUAAAUAUACCCAAAUGAGCUUUAAUCAGAAACGUAAAUAAUGACAACCCUAAUACAUGAGGAAAAAUUCAUUAUUAGUGAAUGAAACUGACACUUAGUUAUAUUUUUGACUCAAUAAAAAUAAGAAAAGAAAAAAUUGAGAAACAAAUAAGAGGGGAAUGAUCAAUCCUGAGAAAUUUGUUGGCUGGAAAAUAUCCAACAAACAAAAAUCAAAUAUCAAUAAGGGACAAGAAUUUGAACGUAUAUAGAAACUUUACAUUUAAUAUAUAUAUCAUGUUAAAUUAUCAAUGAAUUCAAAAUCUCAUGCUAAUAAGUAACAAACGCUAAGUAACAAUAAAUUUAACUAUAUCAAUACUUUAACCAUAGGACAUCCGAACUCAUGAAAUAUAUAAUAAAAUCUUACAACAACUUGAGAAGAAACAAAAAGAGAGAAGCAACAAAUGUAAUAGGGGACAUGCAUAUGGCUGUAUAUAGCAGUUGUGUACACAAACUUAAUAUAUAGUUUUCCCAAAUGUGACAUUGAGAGAGGAAACAAGAAAAAAGAAAAAGAUGAAAAAUGAAAGAAGGGGGCAAAGAGGAAAAAAACAACUUCAAAGUUUCAGCCUUUUCAAUACAUUUCUGCUUUUGAAUACAUUUCAUUCUGUUCUUUCUAAUUCUUUUGCUCCAAAGGUUUUGUCCUGCAUUUAAAUAUUGAAAAUUAAAUUUGGUUAAUCAGUUAUUCAUGGAGUCAGGAUGCAAAAACAAAUUACACGAAGAUAAUAAUGAAACGAAGAUAAAACAAACAAUAAUUCGCUGUUGAAUUAAGAAAUUUCAGAAAUUAUUUGGUAAUUAAGUGUCGGUGUAAAGUGUUUCAACAACUCAUUUAAGUUAGACUUAAUAUAUUGACACCACAUAUCUUAAUAGUCAAGGUAUCAACUUCUUUUGUUAAAGGACAAACUUCACAAUCCACAACUUUUAUACUAAAAAAAAUGCAUAAAUGGUAGAAUAUUUCUAAGAUAAGACAUAUUACCACACUAAAAAUUAGUGGAGAAAGUUGAACAACCAUAUAUAGUUGAGAACCUUUUUCAAACAAAUAAUCCAAAAUAUGUCAAACCCCAGUUCAAAUUAUAUAGUGUGUGUUCGAUUCAAAUUACAACUUAUCAACAUUCCACUAUUUGUAAUAGAGUUUACCAAAAUAAUCAUACAAUGAAAGUUCAAGAUAUAAACAAUUUCAAUACAAAUAUAUAUACAACAUACAUAAAAAAAGAAAAACCCUAAAUGGUUCAAUCCUUCCGAAAUGCAAUUAAUAACUUUUAUACUAGCUUCUUCUCAUUUUGAAACUCACACCAAUAACUUCUCAAAUCAGCCAUUAGAAAAGUUUGUCAUCCAAAGAUAUCUCUACUAAUAUAAUUAAAAUAAUGCUACUUAAUAGAAGUUUUUGUCCUGUCUCCCUAAAAACAUUUUGCAAAAAUAGGGUUAGAAACUAGAGGGAGAGAGAAAAAGAGAAAGGUCAAAAUAGUUCACUUGAAAAAUUCCAUAUAUUUAAUUAAUAUAUACGUAGAGACAAAUGGCAUCCUUGGAAAUUGAAGCUAAGAAGGAGAGACAGCCAAGAAUGUCUUGUGAAAAGUUUUCCCCUGGAAUAUAUAUAUGUAAUGUAACUCACAAACCCCAAAAAUACAUAAAUAUAUACAUAUAAAUUAUAAAAUAUAUAAUAUGCAAUUAUAAAAAGAAAAUUGCAUGUGUAGAAAGUGAACAAAUAAUAUAUAAAAGGGUAGCUAAAAACAAGCAUUUGGGAAGAACACAUGAAUAAAAUUUUAAUUUUGAUCACUCCAUUCAAGGGUUCAUUUUUCUUUACAAGAAAUAGAUAGUUAAAAAGACAAAAAAAAAUUCAAUUUGAAAUCUAAUAAUAAUAAUAAUAAUAAUACUAAUAAUAAGAAGAAAAAACAAUAAUAAUUCUAGACUUCCCUAUGAGGUAGGCCGACAAGAACAUGUGAGAGUUUAGGGUAAAGUUAUACAAAAGAAAGACAUAUUUGUGUUGAAAUUAAACAUAAGAAUGAAGUAAAAUGGGAAGCACAAAGUAGAAGGCUUUUUACUUAAACUGAUCUCUCCCAAAAUAGGGAAAAGGUAUAUAUGAAUUUUGAGACAUAGAAACCAAUCAUAUAUCAUAUGACGUUUGAUGAAAUGGGAGAAUAAAAAAACUUACUGUCCCACAAAAAUCCAACUUCAAACAAACCACCAAAUCUACUUAGAAAAACUCAGGUUCAUAUUUUUUCUAAUUGAUACCAUAACUAUAGAAACGGAGUAAAUCAAAUCUCAUAUAUUUGAAAUAAAAAGACAUUGAGAUAAUUAUUAAAGUUUAUUAUAGAGUAUUAGGGUAAGGUGUUAUACUUCAACUGUUAAAGUUUAUUAUUUAAGAAAAAUUAAUUAAAAGAAUCUAAAUAAAAUUGAAAAGCAAACUGAUAUCUUUUUUUAAUGACCAAAUGGGUCACUCUCUUCCUGGACAAUACUCGAGAGAUUCUAUUGAGAAUGAUUAUGAGGUGUGGUUGAUAAUUGGUGUAAUUAAUAAAAUAAUCAUAAUUGAUCAGGUGGGAGGGGAGGGAAAACGACGAGGAAAUUAACAAAAGGGUUAACCUAAAAAGCAUGUUAAAACAAAACCCUUCAAAUUAAUUUUUGGAGUUUUUUUUUUAAAUAAAAAGAAAUAAAAACUAUUUACUCCUAAAACUUCAAAUUAAAGGAAAAUCCACAAAAUAUUUAUCUUAUAUAAAGAAAAUCAAGUGAAGUGUAAUGAAUUUUAUAAAUUAAACAAGUUUACCAUCAACAAAAUUUUAAGCAUCACUUUUAGUGUUUGAAGAAUGUGCUUGUUUAUGUGCUACAGCACUCUCCUAAAUUUGAAUUAUUAGUUUAGUAUAAAAGAAAGUUUUUUAAAAUAUUUCUUUUAGUAUUCCAAUACCCAGCUUAUUUUGAAAAUGUUUGUGAAGAUAAAGAAGAAAACAACAAAUAUAUAUAUUAUAUGUAUAUAUAAAAGUGAAAGUAGGGUUAUAAAUUUAAGUUUCAAAAUUUAAAGACAACAAAGAAAAAAAAAUUAAAACUUUGAUUAAUAGUAAAAUUUAAAAUUGUGAAGAUUAUUUCUACUUGGGAAUUUCUUUAUUUUUCC